UGCCCGGUGGUGUAAUUGGUAACACACCAGACUCUGGUUCUGGUAUCCAAGGUUCGAGUCCUUGCCGGGCAA
RNAcentral lists this transfer RNA (72 nucleotides) under Planctomycetota bacterium. Its description in RNAcentral is "Planctomycetes bacterium tRNA-Gln". It matches the Rfam family "tRNA". From Rfam's summary of the family: Transfer RNA (tRNA) molecules are approximately 80 nucleotides in length. Their secondary structure includes four short double-helical elements and three loops (D, anti-codon, and T loops). Further hydrogen bonds mediate the characteristic L-shaped molecular structure. tRNAs have two regions of fundamental functional importance: the anti-codon, which is responsible for specific mRNA codon recognition, and the 3' end, to which the tRNAs corresponding amino acid is attached (by aminoacyl-tRNA synthetases). tRNAs cope with the degeneracy of the genetic code in two manners: having more than one tRNA (with a specific anti-codon) for a particular amino acid; and 'wobble' base-pairing, i.e. permitting non-standard base-pairing at the 3rd anti-codon position. Lineage: Bacteria; Pseudomonadati; Planctomycetota. RNAcentral also lists the same sequence under 1 other name. The record is from RNAcentral.